AAUUUUGAAACAAUUAAUUGUAAUCAGUUUCGACCUGAUAUUUAAGUUUUUAUUUAAACUCAAAAUUU
RNAcentral lists this transfer RNA (68 nucleotides) under Neostromboceros nipponicus. RNAcentral's name for it is "tRNA-Arg". The record is from RNAcentral. Lineage: Eukaryota; Metazoa; Arthropoda; Insecta; Hymenoptera; Tenthredinidae.